Molecule: ribosomal RNA, 664 nt
Filed under: uncultured bacterium
Lineage: Bacteria
Description: bacterial SSU rRNA
Rfam family: Bacterial small subunit ribosomal RNA
Source: RNAcentral
GGUGCUAAUACCGGAUAACAACAAUAGCUGCAUGGCUAUUGCUUAAAAGGCGGCGAAAGCUGUCGCUGAAGGAUGGACCCGCGGUGCAUUAGCUAGUUGGUAAGGUAAUGGCUUACCAAGGCGACGAUGCAUAGCCGAGUUGAGAGACUGAUCGGCCACAUUGGGACUGAGACACGGCCCAAACUCCUACGGGAGGCAGCAGUAGGGAAUCUUCCACAAUGGGCGAAAGCCUGAUGGAGCAACGCCGCGUGAGUGAAGAAGGUUUUCGGAUCGUAAAGCUCUGUUGUUGGUGAAGAAGGAUAGAGGUAGUAACUGGCCCCUAUUUGACGGUAAUCAACCAGAAAGUCACGGCUAACUACGUGCCAGCAGCCGCGGUAAUACGUAGGUGGCAAGCGUUGUCCGGAUUUAUUGGGCGUAAAGCGAGCGCAGGCGGAAAGAUAAGUCUGAUGUGAAAGCCCCCGGCUUAACCGAGGAAUUGCAUCGGAAACUGUGUUUCUUGAGUGCAGAAGAGGAGAGUGGAACUCCAUGUGUAGCGGUGGAAUGCGUAGAUAUAUGGAAGAACACCAGUGGCGAAGGCGGCUCUCUGGUCUGUAACUGACGCUGAGGCUCGAAAGCAUGGGUAGCGAACAGGAUUAGAUACCCUGGUAGUCCAUGCCGUAAACGA